AGAACAGAAGUACUGUGCGAUUUUGGCUCAGGGUGGAAGAUGAAAGGAGAGCCCCUUUGGACAUGAAGCUCCGGUUGGCGGCUGCAUUUGGAUGCUAGAGGAGCUGCCACCAGAACGCCGGGCUGGCUGCCCAUGGCAAGGCUGGGAUUACUUUGCUGCUACAUGCCGUUGCUCAGCACAAGAACAAGGCGCUUACAAGAAGGUGGCUUUGUGUGGCGAUGUGCAGGGCAAGCUGAAGUGCACAAAAAUGGUUGCCUGCCAGUCCUCCGUAGGAGGAAAAUAGCCUGGCAUUGUGUCACUGGAGUGCAGACAGGCAGGAGAGCCAGAAGAUUUGUUGUCAGGAACCCUUGCACGUACUCUGGGGCGGCAGCUCAAGUUUUUAAGUUACACAAAAGGCAAAUGACCACUCAGAAACACCGAGACUGCAUUGGACAACAAGCGAAAUGCCUCACAAAAGUACCAGAGGCUGGUAUGGAUUACAGAAGGAGAAGUCACUUCCCAGUCUUGGACAUCCAGUCACUAGUUCCUUAG
RNAcentral lists this long non-coding RNA (531 nucleotides) under Anas platyrhynchos platyrhynchos (common mallard). RNAcentral's name for it is "lncRNA (ENSAPLG00000025172.1)". Lineage: Eukaryota; Metazoa; Chordata; Aves; Anseriformes; Anatidae. The record is from RNAcentral.